RNAcentral lists this ribosomal RNA (629 nucleotides) under uncultured bacterium. RNAcentral describes it as "bacterial SSU rRNA". It matches the Rfam family "Bacterial small subunit ribosomal RNA", at positions 202 to 832 of the family's 1533-position model. The record is from RNAcentral.
UAAAGAAUUUCGGUUAUCGAUGGGGAUGCGUUCCAUUAGUUAGUUGGCGGGGUAACGGCCCACCAAGACGACGAUGGAUAGGGGUUCUGAGAGGAAGGUCCCCCACAUUGGAACUGAGACACGGUCCAAACUCCUACGGGAGGCAGCAGUGAGGAAUAUUGGUCAAUGGACGAGAGUCUGAACCAGCCAAGUAGCGUGAAGGAUGACUGCCCUAUGGGUUGUAAACUUCUUUUAUAUGGGAAUAAAACAGGGUAUGCAUACCCUCUUGUAUGUACCAUAUGAAUAAGGAUCGGCUAACUCCGUGCCAGCAGCCGCGGUAAUACGGAGGAUCCGAGCGUUAUCCGGAUUUAUUGGGUUUAAAGGGAGCGUAGGUGGAUUGUUAAGUCAGUUGUGAAAGUUUGCGGCUCAACCGUAAAAUUGCAGUUGAAACUGGCAGUCUUGAGUACAGUAGAGGUGGGCGGAAUUCGUGGUGUAGCGGUGAAAUGCUUAGAUAUCACGAAGAACUCCGAUUGCGAAGGCAGCUCACUGGACUGCAACUGACACUGAUGCUCGAAAGUGUGGGUAUCAAACAGGAUUAGAUACCCUGGUAGUCCACACAGUAAACGAUGAAUACUCGCUGUUUGCGAUAU